Molecule: non-coding RNA, 634 nt
Organism: Paramuricea clavata
Lineage: Eukaryota; Metazoa; Cnidaria; Anthozoa; Malacalcyonacea; Plexauridae
Source: the annotation of a GenBank genome assembly
AUAUUUGUCUAGACUUGCCUAGAUCAAAAUUUUGGUUAUAAGGGGAAAGGUCUAUUACUACAAUACGUUAUAGCUAAUUUUAAUUUGAAAGGGUUCAGUUUUUUUAUACACCCUGUAUAUUUUAAUUAUUCCAGACAGUCACAGGUACAUGUUAUAAUAGUUCACCUGCAAUUUAUCACAGAACGCGUAAUUUGGAUGUACAUAUGCAGUGGAAAUUCAGAUUGCAUGCCUUCAUCAGUCCUAUUGACUAAAAUGAAUGAACAGUAUUAAAAUUGAGUUAGGUUCUAUUCUUUCCGUCAAUAGAGACCAAAACUCAAAUACAAAUUAAUAAUCAAGUCCUGUGAUACAUCUAUUGAAUUAAAUUUUAUACUUAUAAUUAGCUCAGUGGACAGUGAUCAACUCGGUUAAAUGUCUUAAGGCUGGUUAAUUUACACUAUCACAGUUUCUGUGAUCACGGUAGGACUAUUUUACAUGGGUAAGUUCUAAGUUUGGAAGGAUUUGUAAGAAAUGUUUGAGGAAACCGACUCAGUGUUGAACAGUAGAGAGGUUAAGAUACGGUGUACGGGUACGAGUAGUGUCAUCUUGUUUUACUGAUGUCUGUAUUUCGAUCCGGCAUACUUUUUCUGUUUUCUUG